AGAACGAACGCUGGCGGCAUGCCUAAUACAUGCAAGUCGAACGAAUGCCCUUUGGGGUGUUAGUGGCGCACGGGUGCGUAACGCGUGGGAAUCUGCCCUUGGGUUCGGAAUAACAGUUGGAAACGACUGCUAAUACCGGAUGAUGACGUAAGUCCAAAGUAUUUAUCGCCCAGGGAUGAGCCCGCGUAGGAUUAGCUUAGUUGGUAGGGGUAAACACCUACCAAGGCGACGACGUCCUUAGCUGGUCUGAGAGAUGAUCAGCCACGACGUGGACUGGACGACACCGGCC
RNAcentral lists this ribosomal RNA (289 nucleotides) under uncultured soil bacterium. RNAcentral describes it as "partial 16S ribosomal RNA". It matches the Rfam family "Bacterial small subunit ribosomal RNA", at positions 26 to 331 of the family's 1533-position model. The record is from RNAcentral.